This is a long non-coding RNA of Salmo salar (Atlantic salmon), 2824 nucleotides long. RefSeq lists it as uncharacterized. The record is from RefSeq and is a predicted model, not a curated record. Lineage: Eukaryota; Metazoa; Chordata; Actinopteri; Salmoniformes; Salmonidae.
UUAAGGAGUGCAUUUGUGAGAUAAUUGUAGAUAUUAUUAAAAUAGUUAGUUCAGCAAAUAUGUUUCCUUAUUUUGAAAGCAGUCUAUGGACAAGGGCAGACUGCAAUCCACACUUUUAUUUGAUUAACUAGCCAGUUACAACAAAUGCUAAUAAGCAUUUUAGGACCAAAAAUAAAAAGACGUCCCUUUACCCCUUUCAGUAUGUUUUAAAUGUCAUGUCCAAAAUCAUCUCUUAAAUUGAUUGUUAGUCGAUGACUUGGUUUUACAUUAUUUUGCAAUGAUUAUGGCAUGAUUUAAUGGGAUACUUAGGCCUUUUGGCAAUGAGGCCCUUUAUCUACUUCCCCAGAGUCAGAUGAACUUGUAGAUACACUUUUUAUGUCUCUGUGUCCAUCUAGUAUGAAGGAAGUUAGAGGUUGUUUCGCGAGCUGGAAGUCUAUGGGUAUCGACCCAUGAGAGGUUGACUUGAAAGUAGUGCCAACUCUCAUUUGUUAGCAGUGGCUAGUUAAUCGAAACCAAAUUGUGGAUUACAGUUAGUUCUUAUUCACAUACUGCAUUCAAGGUAAGAAAACAACUAUCUAAAAAUGUAAUUACGCUGAACUAUCCCUUUAAUCUGUUCAGAAGUAGUUAACAUGCAGAUUUAUUUCCAGAGCACAUUUUGCUGUACAAACUUGAUAGGACAAUUAUUAUGUUAUUGAGCUGUAGAAUUUAAUAUAUCAUUUGUGUUAAACUGUUUUUCUAGUUAUUGUAAUAAAGUUCAAUUGUUAAUUACCUAGUAUUGUAGUUGAUCAGAGUUGUUAAAUUGCUUAACUAGUGAAAUUGCACAACUAUAACAAAUGCUGCCAAUUUGUGUACUCAAGAAAACGAAAAAGACAGUAAAAAAUAAGGAAACUCAACUUGCUUUCACAUUAUGCAGGGAAAAUGGGAUAACACAGCUCAAACAGAGAAGGGCUGCUUGAAUUGGGUUUGAACAGCAUUUUGUAAAAAUCAUUACUUACUGUAUGUGAUCUUUAUUAAACUUUACAAUACCCCUUUUUAGGAGACCAACAGCUACUUAUUGAGAACGGAGGAAAAGAAAUGAUGGAAGCUUAAAGUCAUCAGGAACAGCAUUUAUUGGACAGGUUAUAAAGCUUUGGCGUAUUCCCCUGUGGAUGGGAGUUGACGGAAUACAAGAUUACGUGAAUAUGUUGCUUCAUAGCAUCUUUUUCUUAGGUCACAUUCAUCAGGCCAGUCUUCUUCCAAAUGCCUUCUUUGAGUCUCCAGAGGGUAGGCUUGUGAUGUACGAUUUAGAAAGAAGAUUUCCACAGGCAUUCCACAAUUACAAGGAUCCACCCCACCAGACUCCAUUUUCCAUUCUUCUGACUUUGGCUGUCAGGAUUUAUGGUCAUGAAGAUCAAAUAAAAUACUUUCUUCAACGUUUCCUGAAAGCAUUGACCUUGCCCACCAGAAGAAAAGGCGAGAGUAACUACACACACUACUACACUCUGGAGGCUACUGUCAUUGCUGUGUGCUACAACGAAACCAACGGAGUGAAGUACUAUGGAGCAUCCCUGUCCUGCAGAGGGGAGCGAGAAAAGAACUUUAUGAUCAAUUGGUCAUGUCUACAUGUGUGGCAUGACUAUGUGUCUUAUGCAGUGUUGUCAUUCAGACAUGAUGAACAGGGAAACGGUAUCAGAUUCCCUGUCACCGUAAAAUGCAGCGCAUUCUACAGGAAUCCCCAGACCAACUUUUAUGAAGACCGAAGGCCGUGCAAGAACUGUGGGGAUCUUUUCUCUCUCUCAAACCCUGAGAUGGACAGAAAUGACUUUCCCUACGGAAACUGUGCCGAAACGGAGUGCCUGAGUAAACUUAUUUUCAAUGAUCAGGAUGUCCUGAGCAAAAUGAUUUUGGGAUCCUACUACACAAGGGAAAAACUGAAUGGUCUUAGACAAAUGGCAGCAAAUGCUUUGGAACAUGGUCUUAAGGCAUAGGUCUACUUAGCACCCAUGAACAGUGUGCAUUUGGCCGUCAUUUGCAAACCAAGUGCAAACUGUGACUGUGUAAACUUCUAUUAUGUGAUCAGGAUGUCUGCAGCAAUAUGAGUUUUGUACACUACACAAGAGAAAAUGUCUUAGAAAAAUGAUAGAAAAAGCUUUUGAACAUUUAGGUUUUGUUCCACACAGGUUUUAUACAUGGUGUUUUUGCUGUGUUUGACUUGGAAGUUUCCUCUGAAACUACAAGAACAAUGGUGUUCUUUAAUCACUCAACUGUGAUUAAGGCAAGUAAAUGGUUUCUGCCAUUGAGCGUUGUGAAUUACAGCUCGGACAAACAAUAUAAUUAUUACCACUAACAACAAGACAUAGAAAGCAGCAACUUUGGGAAUACAUUUUGAAGUUGUUUUACUUUUUGGUUUGGUCUUUGUGUUUGGUUGUUUAUUUUUAUUUAUUUAUAUUGGGGGAUGUUUAAUUGUAAUAAGCUAUCAACUUUGUCCCUUAUCAAAUAGUCUGCCAUGUGCUUUGUGUCACAGUGGAAAAUGAAUGAAAUGAAAAUGAACACAUUUCUGAUGUGACAGGAAACUGCAGAAAGGGUGUGACACUGAACUUGUUUGAAUGCAGACCAUUCAGUGAAACCACAGCUAAAACAGCAGACUAAAACAACAGACAGCAUGAUCAAUACCUAAAAUGAUGUUACUUUAUGACACAAACUUAUCUUGUAAAUAUUUUGAAUCCAUCAAUAAAUUAGAAUUCUUAAAGGUUGGUUGUAUGUUUUAUAGUUUCCUUCCAGUUUGCUGCUAUAACUUGGACCAGAUCUCUCUGGCAAAAUACAUUUUUAUCUCAAAGUGAAAUAA